This 327-nucleotide ribosomal RNA is filed under the name uncultured eukaryote. RNAcentral's name for it is "partial 18S ribosomal RNA". It matches the Rfam family "Eukaryotic small subunit ribosomal RNA", at positions 1470 to 1796 of the family's 1831-position model. The record is from RNAcentral.
CCCUUAGAUGUUCUGGGCCGCACGCGCGCUACACUGACGAAUGCAACGAGCUUAUAACCUUGGCCGAAAGGUCUGUGUAAUCUCCAAAUUUCGUCGUGAUGGGGAUAGAUUAUUGCAAUUAUUAAUCUUCAACGAGGAAUGCCUAGUAAGCGCAAGUCAUCAGCUUGCGUUGAUUACGUCCCUGCCCUUUGUACACACCGCCCGUCGCUCCUACCGAUUGAAUGGUCCGGUGAAGCGUUCGGACCGUGGCCUUUGGACGGUUCGCCGUCUGUUGGCUGCGGGAAGUUCGUUAAACCUUAUCAUUUAGAGGAAGGAGAAGUCGUAACA